This is a long non-coding RNA of Asparagus officinalis (garden asparagus), 686 nucleotides long. RefSeq lists it as uncharacterized. The record is from RefSeq and is a predicted model, not a curated record. The transcript is spliced from 4 exons. NCBI's taxonomy places the organism in Eukaryota, Viridiplantae, Streptophyta, Magnoliopsida, Asparagales, Asparagaceae.
ACCUCCUUGAAAGCAAAGAGGAAGAAAGACAGCGAGUGAGGAGGAAAUUUUUGAAGUCUAUUGUUCGCUUGGACUGGCCAGAUUCAAGAAGCUUAGCGUGCAAAACAUAGCACAAGUCAAGCUGAAGUGUAGGUUUUUGUAGCUUUGUUGCUUCCUCCCUCUCAAACUCUAGAGAAGAAAUUUCAUAACUUUCAUCCAAGCUUGGAGAUUGAAGGAGGUACUUGGGUGUCUUUUUACCAUACCCAGUACGCAUCAAAUCAAAUCAGGGAUUAAGAAUUAGUUGCAUCAUCCGCAUGGUUACUCCUAUUCUUGCAAAAAAAGGUUAACGUGCAAGAAAGAAACUCCAAAACUUUUGCAUUAUUAUAGUUCACUAUGUCUCCUACCUGCUAUUCAGCUCUAAUUGAUCACGCUUAAUGGUUGAUAUGUUGCUCAUCCCCAACCAUCGGAUCAGCUGAAAAACAGUAACAUGCGGGGGCCCACAAGGGAUGGGAUCCUUACUUGUUGAUGAGGGGAGGAAAGAAAACGACAUUAGCGCUGGAGAAUUUUGGAUUUGGACAGUCUACUUUCUCUAUCUCGCCUUUUCUCUGUCCUAUUUAUUUAUUUAUCCUCCACAAUUUAAGCUAUUUCCUAAAGAAGAAAGCCUAACAACAUACUGAUAGCAUAAUUGCUCGCUUGUUUCCUUUUAU